GCUGGGCACACUGGCGCAUACCUGUAAUCCCAGCUGCUCAGGAGGCUGAGGCAGGAGGAUUGCGAGUUCAAAGCCAGCCUCAGCAAUGGCGAGGAGCCAAGCAACUCAGUGAGACCCUGUCUCUG
Molecule: small RNA, 125 nt
Filed under: Marmota monax (woodchuck)
Lineage: Eukaryota; Metazoa; Chordata; Mammalia; Rodentia; Sciuridae
Source: RNAcentral